This 923-nucleotide non-coding RNA is filed under the name Thermoplasmatales archaeon SCGC AB-540-F20. RNAcentral's name for it is "Archaeal small subunit ribosomal RNA". It matches the Rfam family "Archaeal small subunit ribosomal RNA", at positions 4 to 932 of the family's 1478-position model. Lineage: Archaea; Methanobacteriati; Thermoplasmatota; Thermoplasmata; Thermoplasmatales. The record is from Rfam by way of RNAcentral.
CCGGUUGAUCCUGGCGGAGGCCACUGCUAUUGGGAUCCGACUAAGCCAUGCGAGUCGAGAGGGUUCGGCCCUCGGCAGACUGCUCAGUAACACGUGGAUAAUCUACCCUUAGGUGGAGGAUACUCUCGGGAAACUGAGAAUAAUACUCCAUAGGUCUAGGAUGCUGGAAUGCACCUAGGUUGAAAGCUCCGGCGCCUAAGGACGAGUCUGCGGACUAUCAGGUAGUAGUCAGGGUAAAGACCUGACUAGCCUACGACGGAUACGGGUUGUGAGAGCAAUAGCCCGGAGACGAUAUCUGAGACACGAUAUCGGGCCCUACGGGGCGCAGCAGGCGCGAAAUCUUCACAAUGUGCGAAAGCACGAUGAGGGGAUCCCAAGUGUUGGUUCGUAAGAGUCAUCUGUUUCUUUGUCUAAAAAACAGGGAGAGUAAGAGCUGGGUAAGACGGGUGCCAGCCGCCGCGGUAAUACCUGCAGCUCAAGUGGUGGCCGCUAUUAUUGGGCCUAAAACGUCCGUAGCCGGUUUAGUAAAUGCCUGGGUAAAUUGUGUAGCUCAACUAUACGAAUACCGGGUAGACUGCUAAACUUGGAACCGGGAGAGGCUAGAGGUACUCCUAGGGUAGAGGUGAAAUUCUGUAAUCCUAGGGGGACCACCAGUGGCGAAGGCGUCUAGCCAGAACGGGUUUGACGGUGAGGGACGAAGCCCUGGGGCGCAAACCGGAUUAGAUACCCGGGUAGUCCAGGGUGUAAACGCUGCUCGCUUGAUGUUAGUCGGGCUCCGAGCCCAACUAGUGUCGGAGAGAAGUUGUUAAGCGAGCUGCCUGGGAAGUACGGUCGCAAGGCUGAAACUUAAAGGAAUUGGCGGGGGAGCACAGCAACGGGUGGAGCGUGCGGUUUAAUUGGAUUCAACGCCGGAAAUCUCACCG